AGGACGAACGCUGGCGGCGUGCUUAACACAUGCAAGUGGAGCGACGAACCGGGGCUUGCCCCGGGGCAGAGCCGCGAACGGGUGAGUAACACGUGGGUCACCUGCCUCGAUGACCGGGACAACCCGAGGAAACUCGGGCUAAUACCGGAUGUGCCCGCAAGGGGAAAGGAAGCUUCGGCCUCCGCAUCAAGAUGGGCCCGCGGCCCAUUAGCUUGUUGGUGAGGUAACGGCUCACCAAGGCUUCGAUGGGUAGCUGGUCUGAGAGGACGAUCAGCCACACUGGGACUGAGACACGGCCCAGACUCCUACGGGAGGCAGCAGUGGGGAAUAUUGCACAAUGGGCGAAAGCCUGAUGCAGCGACGCCGCGUGAGGGAUGACGGCCUUCGGGUUGUAAACCUCUUUCAGCAGGGACGAAGCGAAAGUGACGGUACCUGCAGAAGAAGCACCGGCCAACUACGUGCCAGCAGCCGC
Molecule: ribosomal RNA, 472 nt
Filed under: uncultured bacterium
Lineage: Bacteria
Description: SSU rRNA
Rfam family: Bacterial small subunit ribosomal RNA
Source: RNAcentral